GAAGAAUGUCUAUUACAGAUCCUAAUUGAAGUAGCGAUUAUCCAGGCUUGUAUCCUGGGGGCUGAUGAGGAGUAGGGUUUCUGGACAACUUAAACAGAUCCAGAGUUAGUCGAUCCUAAUCUCAAUAAUGGGAGAAAGGGAGUACAGUUGAUAUUCUGUAACUGACAACAGUUCGCGGCAACGCAUACUAUUUUUCUCCGCCAAUCUUAUACCGUUGGUAGGGAUCUCUUUCCUACAUGACAGUACUAAUACCCAGGGAAACUGGUCAUCAGGCGAACUGCGGCGUUCUGCUGGCAAAACAUAGCUUCGGUUAUGUCAAUGGCUAUUGGAUUGGUCCAUGAAGCGAAAAAUAGUUUACUGUGUCACUCGUACCGAUAACCGCAUCAGGUCUUCUAGGUAAGUAGCCUAUGGCCAUUGAGGCAUGAUAGUUCAGGGAAUUCGGCCAAUUAGAGCUGUAACUUCGGGAUAAAGCUUGGCUCUGAUGAAAAUCAGAACCGAUUGUUACGCGGAGAGCCCAACUGUUUAAUAAAAACGUAGUGUCGCGCUGUGGUAGUAUAGCCAGUGAACGCGACAUGAAUCCUGCUCAGUGCUGUGUCUGUUAAUAUGGUUCAAGCCAACGAAGCACCGGUAAAUAGCUGGGGUAACUAUGACUCUUAUCAAAGUAGCGAAAUACCUCGUCACUUAAUUAGUGACCUGCAUGAACGGAGCUAUGAGGUUCUCACUGUCCCAAACUGUCUCUCAGCGAACCAACUGUAGUGGGAACGGUCACUAGAUAUCCAGCGGGGAAAGAAGACCCUGUAGAGCUUCACUUUGGUCUAGUCUUGUAUAGUUCCUGCGGGGGUGUAGACUAGGUGGGAGAGCUAAUCGAUUCUGAAAAACCACUACCCUGUUUGGAAUUAUGCUUACCUAUCACAAGGAAUAGGACUAGAUAGAAAGUUUGGCUGGGGCGGCACACCUUCGAAAGAGCAGCGAAGGUGUCCUAAGUUGAGCUCAGUGAGG
This 999-nucleotide non-coding RNA is filed under the name Trichomonas vaginalis G3. Its description in RNAcentral is "Eukaryotic large subunit ribosomal RNA". It matches the Rfam family "Eukaryotic large subunit ribosomal RNA", at positions 1430 to 2682 of the family's 3401-position model. The record is from Rfam by way of RNAcentral. Lineage: Eukaryota; Parabasalia; Trichomonadida; Trichomonadidae.